RNAcentral lists this long non-coding RNA (694 nucleotides) under Triticum aestivum (bread wheat). Its description in RNAcentral is "long non-coding RNA (TAES_LNC015013)". The record is from RNAcentral. Lineage: Eukaryota; Viridiplantae; Streptophyta; Magnoliopsida; Poales; Poaceae.
UCGGGAAACUGUGAGUAUCGUAAUUGAAACCAUUACUAAUUGCUAGUACUAAAUUGUGAGUACGAACAUGCGAAUGGUAGUGCUAUGAUAGAGGAAACAUACCGGAAUCCCUCUCUUGAGCAAUUGCCGUUCCGCCCUCUUGUUAAAUGCUUAUCAACUAAUACUUGGUGUUCUUUUUACCAUUUCUUGCAGUAAACGUGUUCGGUGGACCACGAACCGCUACUCCACAUCCUCACGCUAACCAACCGGAGGGGAUUCCUCGGCGCAGAGAGCGCAAACACUAGGCGCCUGAGAGGUGCACGUGCAGCGAGACAACGGGGGAUGAACACAUGUAGUAGCUUUGAUAGGGAAUCAAAUAACCUUGCGUGGUUGGGCCAAUGGGCGCGUUACUUGUAUUUGUGAUGCAUAUGCAGCUUGUUAAACAAGUUUGUGUGCAACUUGCAAUUUCUGUUUCCUUGUCCUUCGAGGGACUCGCUAAUGUUAUACGUACUCGAUCGACAAUUGGUAUCUCCUUUGUACUCCAUUAUUGAAACCGCUCGUAUGUGGAAAGGUUAUUGAAACAAUUUGAUCGAUUGGGCCAACAAAGGUGGUUAGUUGCUUCUUAUUGCUUGUCACUCACUGUAAUCUACUCCCUCCGUCCACAAAUAUACAACGUUUUGGAUAUAUCAAUACGUGCUAAUAUUUAUGAACGGAU